GACGAACGCUGACGGUGUGCUUUAGACAUGCAAGUCGAACGCGAAAGCCCUUCGGGUUAGUAGAGUGGCGAACGGGUGAGUAACACGUGGGCAAUCUGCCCCUCGCAGGGGGACGAACCGGAGGAAACCCGGCCUAAUACCCGUACGCUUGUGGGACCGCAUGGUUCCGCAAGGAAAGGUAGCUUCGGCCAUCCGGCGAGGGAUGAGCCCGCGGUGCAUUAGCUAGUUGGUGAGGUAACGGCCCACCAAGGCAACGAUGCAUAGCUGGUCUGAGAGGACGAUCAG
RNAcentral lists this ribosomal RNA (285 nucleotides) under uncultured bacterium. RNAcentral describes it as "partial 16S ribosomal RNA". It matches the Rfam family "Bacterial small subunit ribosomal RNA", at positions 28 to 307 of the family's 1533-position model. The record is from RNAcentral.